Astatotilapia calliptera (eastern happy) is the source of this 1023-nucleotide long non-coding RNA. Lineage: Eukaryota; Metazoa; Chordata; Actinopteri; Cichliformes; Cichlidae. The record is from Ensembl.
AACUUAUGACCAAUGAGCUGUGGUGAGAACGGUUAGGGAGUGUGGUGGGAACUCUCCUCCCAUUACUCUUCUCCCUACCUGGGAACCAAAGCAGCCUCGGGGAGGGGCCGCCCGGCCGACUACUGUCUGAAUGAACACCAAACAAAAACUCUCACCAACAGGUGAGUUACACGAGUCACUGUUGGUUUUUCUCUACUCUAUUCUCUUUUUUUGCUUUCCCCCCUCCCCCAUCAUUUUGUUUUUCAUUCAAGGCUGGCACGCUGCUUUACAUUUUGGCAGCACUGAAAAAAAGGACACAGAGAAACAAAACAGUCAAAGUGUGGGAACUUUUUCUCCUUCCUUUUUUCUUCUUCCAGGAGCUUUUAUCAGUAUUAACUCUGCUUACACAGGUAUUUGUGCACCUGUGGCACUGAAUUAGUGGAUCAGCUUCUUCAUUGUGUUGUAAAAUAAGCACUGUGAAUUACUUUUUUUUAAAUUCCAGGAUUCUGCCUGAAAACACGCUUAAUCCUUCACUGAGCAGCUGUAAGAGCUGGGGGGGGGGUUUCUUUUUUUUUUUUUAAGAAAACUGUGGUCUUGUUUCACUUUUACUGCUGGUGCAGAUCUUUUAUAGUUCUUAUUUAUUGUAAGUGCAUAGUUACAUAUCUCUCUUAUUUUACCCAUAACUGUUGUUUGAAAGGUUGAUAAAAGAUGCUUUUGUCCCACUGAUCUCAAUCUCUUCCAGUCAACAACCUCUGGGUGUGAGAAAUUAGGCCAACACGUGUUAAAAUGGCCCACUUAAAACAUAAUAUAAUGAAUACAUUUAGAGCAUGGCACAAUGAAUGACAUUGAACUCUAUGGAGAGUUUGUCCCUUUCAUAACAACUGCACAGGGAUUAGAUUUUUCAAAAACUCACCCAUCUGGAUUUUUUGGAGGCUCAAAGUUGAGGCGUGGCCGCUUUGAUUGACAGGUGUGCCGACCUAUAAAUCUCUGCUAGGCCUCAUCUCCAGUAAUUCACGUCACUGAACUGCAUAUUUUGAUUGGAUC